UCAUCAAUGUUUUCGACGCAA
Caenorhabditis elegans is the source of this 21-nucleotide non-coding RNA. The record is from Ensembl. NCBI's taxonomy places the organism in Eukaryota, Metazoa, Nematoda, Chromadorea, Rhabditida, Rhabditidae.